GAUUCCCCCAGUAACGGCGAGUGAACAGGGAUUAGCCCAGCACCGAAGCCUGCGACCGUUUGGCCGUAAGGCAAUGUGGUGUUUAGGUUGAUGCGUUGGUGUGCUGCUCCGUUCCAAGUCCAAUCAUGAAUAUGGCUUUAGUAUGGCCCAGAGAGGGUGAAAGGCCCGUGUGGACGGAGUGGCGCUUCACUGCGUUGACUUUGGAGUCGGGUUGUUUGAGAAUGCAGCCCAAAGUUGGUGGUAAACUCCAUCUAAGGCUAAAUACUGGCACGAGUCCGAUAGCGAACAAGUACCGUGAGGGAAAGUUGAAAAGUACUCUGAAGAGAGAGGUAACAGUGCGUGAAACCGCUUAGAGGCAAACGGGUGUAGUCAAGCUGCAAGCCUGUUGAAAUAGGGGGGCCAGAAUGGCGUGAGUCUGAGCACAUAGAGCCAGCGUAUGGGUGCGUCCCUAGGGACGUGUUCGGUUCACGAGAGCCGGAUCUGUGAAGUGGCAUUCGCUGCUGCAGGCCUGUGCGUUGGUUGCUCUGCUGGCCCUCUCACUUUCUUCGGGCGUAUGUCACGACCGUCAUUGUUGUCGGUCUGCUUCGUCUAAACGGUGGGGUGAGUAGUCUUGUGCUAUUCGUCCCAUCGGGGCAGGUUGCCGGGCCGGUACUUCGGUGCUGCUGCUUCGGUGUUAUUUGCUGGGCGGAGUGGUAACUGUAACUGUGCAAUGUGGCGGGGCUGGCGGUGCAUUGUUUCCUGGGCGUGCUAAAAAUGCGCUGGCGCGAAUUGAGUUUGGCUGCUUGUUGCUGGUUCUGCCGGCCUUGUGGCAACUCUGUUGCGGUUUAGUGUAUGGCUGCGUCUGGGCAAUCUUUGCGUUGUGCCAAUAGUCUGUGGCGUAGUGGUAGACGAUCCACCCGACCCGUCUUGAAACACGGACCAAGGAGUUUAACAUGUGCGCGAGUCAAUGAGUUGUGCAUUGCAUACGAAACUCAAAGGCGCAGUGAAAGUAAAGGGUGACAUAGUUGCCUGAGGUGAGAUCCUGCUAUUUCUCUUGUGCUCUGGUCAGACUCUCGAGUGGUAGGCGCAUCACCGGCCCGUCCCAUGGUGUAGUAGGGCUUCUGUCUUGCGGCACCGGGGCGGAGCAAGAGCGUACAUGUUGAGACCCGAAAGAUGGUGAACUAUGCUUGCGCAGGUUGAAGCCGGAGGAAACUCUGGUGGAGGACCGUAGCGAUUCUGACGUGCAAAUCGAUCGUAUGAUGUGAGUAUAGGGGCGAAAGACUAAUCGAACCAUCUAGUAGCUGGUUCCCUCCGAAGUUUCCCUCAGGAUAGCUGGUGCUCGUAAUGGUUAAACAGUUUUAUCCGGUAAAGCGAAUGAUUAGAGGUCUUGGUGCCGAAAUGGUGUCAACCUAUUCUCAAACUUUAAAUGGGUGAGAAGCCUUGCUCUCUUAAUUGGAGUUCGGCCGUCGAAUGUGAGUGCCAAGUGGGCCAUUUUUGGUAAGCAGAACUGGCGCUGUGGGAUGAACCAAACGCUCGGUUAAGGUGCCUAACACGACGCUCAUGAGAUACCACAAAAGGUGUUGGUUGAUAUAGACAGCAGGACGGUGGCCCUGGUAGUCGGAAUCCGCUAAGGAGUG
RNAcentral lists this ribosomal RNA (1616 nucleotides) under Heterobothrium sp. GM3. RNAcentral describes it as "partial 28S ribosomal RNA". It matches the Rfam family "Eukaryotic large subunit ribosomal RNA", at positions 73 to 1280 of the family's 3401-position model. Lineage: Eukaryota; Metazoa; Platyhelminthes; Monogenea; Mazocraeidea; Diclidophoridae. The record is from RNAcentral.